Molecule: ribosomal RNA, 257 nt
Filed under: uncultured bacterium
Lineage: Bacteria
Description: partial 16S ribosomal RNA
Rfam family: Bacterial small subunit ribosomal RNA
Source: RNAcentral
UACGUAGGGUGCAAGCGUUUGUCCGGAUUUAUUGGGCGUAAAGAGCUCGUAGGCGGUUUGUCGCGUCGGAUGUGAAAACCCAGGGCUCAACCCUGGGCCUGCAUUCGAUACGGGCAGACUAGCGUAUGGCAGGGGAGACUGGAAUUCCUGGUGUAGCGGUGAAAUGCGCAGAUAUCAGGAGGAACACCGGUGGCGAAGGCGGGGUCUCUGGGCCAAAAACUGACGCUGGAGGAGCGAAAGCGUGGGGAGCGAACAGG